AAAAAUCUGUUUGCUGUAGCAUUCCAGUGUGUUUGGACAACUAUGAAAUAAUUUAAAACUCUUUAAUUUUAAUACAUCCCAUGUUUUUCUAGACUCCACAGCAUUCAUAAAGACAUAAGGAUGGCAUCCAAGUACUGUGCAACUUAGUACUCUUGGGAGCAAGUGACUUCUGGAUGACACACAGUGAAGAAAUCAACCCACCACACUGGUUACUUGCUGUGACCGCUUUUUUGCUUGUUGUUCCCCACACUGAGAGCAAAACGAGGUCCAGCAGAACUAGGGUGGUACCUUACUACAGGGUUCAAGACAGUAAUAUGGACAACUAGCAAAACAAGUGUCACACACAAGCCAGUUUAUACUGAAACAUAAUGAGACAGUAAGUUAAACGAGUGAAUCAACACAAUCGCUGCAAAAAGUCAUAGCCUUCCCAUUAAAGGUAACAGGAAGCUCA
This is a long non-coding RNA of Pipra filicauda (Wire-tailed manakin), 451 nucleotides long. RefSeq lists it as uncharacterized. The transcript has 2 exons. The record is from RefSeq and is a predicted model, not a curated record. NCBI's taxonomy places the organism in Eukaryota, Metazoa, Chordata, Aves, Passeriformes, Pipridae.